RNAcentral lists this ribosomal RNA (520 nucleotides) under uncultured Glomeromycotina. RNAcentral describes it as "SSU rRNA". It matches the Rfam family "Eukaryotic small subunit ribosomal RNA", at positions 569 to 1091 of the family's 1831-position model. Lineage: Eukaryota; Fungi; Glomeromycota. The record is from RNAcentral.
AGCAGCCGCGGUAAUUCCAGCUCCAAUAGCGUAUAUUAAAGUUGUUGCAGUUAAAAAGCUCGUAGUUGAAUUUCGGGAUUAGUACGCUGGUCAUGCCUUUGGUAUGUACUGGUGUUACUGGUUCCUACCUUCUGAAGAACCGUCAUGUCAUUAAUUUGGUGUGGCGGGGAAUCAGGACUGUUACUUUGAAAAAAUUAGAGUGUUUAAAGCAGGCUCGCGCUUGAAUACAUUAGCAUGGAAUAAUGAAAUAGGACGUUUGACCCUAUUUUGUUGGUUUCUAGGAUCGACGUAAUGAUUAAUAGGGAUAGUUGGGGGCAUUAGUAUUCAAUUGUCAGAGGUGAAAUUCUUGGAUUUAUUGAAGACUAACUACUGCGAAAGCAUUUGCCAAGGAUGUUUUCAUUAAUCAAGAACGAAAGUUAGGGGAUCGAAGACGAUCAGAUACCGUCGUAGUCUUAACCCAUAAACCUAUGCCGACUAGGGAUCGGAUGAUGUUAUUUUAAUGACUCAUUCGGCGCCUUAC